This is a non-coding RNA of Eumeta japonica, 110 nucleotides long. Lineage: Eukaryota; Metazoa; Arthropoda; Insecta; Lepidoptera; Psychidae. The record is from the annotation of a GenBank genome assembly.
ACGUCCAUACCACGCUGAAUAUACCGGUUCUCAUCUGAUCACCGAAGUUAAGCAGCGUCGGGCGCGGUCAGUACUUGGAUGGGUGGACCGCCUAUUAACACCGCGUAAUG